CAAUAGCGUAUAUUAAAGUUGUUGCAGUUAAAAAGCUCGUAGUUGGAUUUCUGGUGGGAGCGGCCGGUCCGCCGUAAGGUGUGUACUUGGUUGUCUCCUGUCAUCCUUGUGGGAACUGCUCUGGCAUUAAGUUGUCGGGGUUAGGGAACACAUCGUUUACUGUGAAAAAAUUAGAGUGUUUAAAGCAGGCUUAUGCCGUUGAAUACAUUAGCAUGGAAUAAUAAGAUAGGACUUUGGCGUCUAUUUUGUUGGUUUGCGCACCAAGGUAAUGAUUAAUAGGGAUAGUUGGGGGUAUUCGUAUUUAAUUGUCAGAGGUGAAAUUCUUGGAUUUAUGAAAGACGAACUUCUGCGAAAGCAUUUACCAAAGAUGUUUNCAUUA
This 379-nucleotide ribosomal RNA is filed under the name uncultured eukaryote. Its description in RNAcentral is "partial 18S ribosomal RNA". It matches the Rfam family "Eukaryotic small subunit ribosomal RNA", at positions 592 to 975 of the family's 1831-position model. The record is from RNAcentral.